Molecule: ribosomal RNA, 492 nt
Filed under: uncultured bacterium
Lineage: Bacteria
Description: bacterial SSU rRNA
Rfam family: Bacterial small subunit ribosomal RNA
Source: RNAcentral
GAACGCUAGCGACAGGCCUAACACAUGCAAGUCAGGGGCAGCACAAGGAGCAAUCUGAGGUGGCGACCGGCGCACGGGUGAGUAACACGUAUGCAACCUGCCUGUAAGCGGGGAAUAACCCGUUGAAAGACGGACUAAUACCGCAUAAUACUAAAUUACUGCAUGGUAAUUUAUUUAAACAUUUAUGGCUUACAGAUGGGCAUGCGCAUGAUUAGCUAGUUGGAGAGGUAACGGCUCCCCAAGGCAACGAUCAUUAGGGGUUCUGAGAGGAAAGUCCCCCACACUGGUACUGAGACACGGACCAGACUCCUACGGGAGGCAGCAGUGAGGAAUAUUGGUCAAUGGACGAGAGUCUGAACCAGCCAAGUCGCGUGCAGGAAGAAUGUCCCUAUGGAUUGUAAACUGCUUUUGCAGGGGAAUAAAGUGCAUCACGUGUGAUGUUUUGUAUGUACUCUGCGAAUAAGGAUCGGCUAACUCCGUGCCAGCCGCCGC